AGAGUUUGAUCCUGGCUCAGGAUGAACGCUGGCGGCGUGCUUAACACAUGCAAGUCGAACGAACCUUCGGGUUAGUGGCCGACGGGUGAGUAACGCGUGAGAAUCUGCCCUCAGGGGGGGAUAACGGCUGGAAACGGCCGCUAAUACCCCAUAUGCCGCGAGGUGAAAUGAAUUUCGCCUGAGGAUGAGCUCGCGUCUGAUUAGCUAGUUGGUGUAGGUAAUGGCUCACCAAGGCAUCGAUCAGUAGCUGGUCUGAGAGGAUGAUCAGCCACACUGGGACUGAGACACGGCCCAGACUCCUCCGGGAGGCAGCAGUGAGGAAUCUUCCGCAAUGGGCGAAAGCCUGACGGAGCAAUACCGCGUGAGGGAUGAAGGAUUUUGGUCUGUAAACCUCUUUUCUCAAGAAAGAGGUUCUGACGGCACUUGAGGAAUAAGCAUCGGCUAACUACGUGCCAGCAGCCGCGGUAAU
This 469-nucleotide ribosomal RNA is filed under the name uncultured Synechococcus sp. RNAcentral's name for it is "bacterial SSU rRNA". It matches the Rfam family "Bacterial small subunit ribosomal RNA", at positions 8 to 524 of the family's 1533-position model. The record is from RNAcentral. Lineage: Bacteria; Bacillati; Cyanobacteriota; Cyanophyceae; Synechococcales; Synechococcaceae.